AUCAUUUGGGGAGGUUGUUACAAGGUAGAUUUUGAUUCACGCUCGAGAUUCUGCAUUUCUAACAACCUCCCAGGUGAUGCCAG
This 83-nucleotide microRNA precursor is filed under the name Myotis myotis. RNAcentral describes it as "mir-544 microRNA precursor family". It matches the Rfam family "mir-544 microRNA precursor family". The record is from Rfam by way of RNAcentral. Lineage: Eukaryota; Metazoa; Chordata; Mammalia; Chiroptera; Vespertilionidae. RNAcentral also lists the same sequence under 1 other name.